RNAcentral lists this ribosomal RNA (19 nucleotides) under Trichoderma rossicum. Its description in RNAcentral is "partial 28S ribosomal RNA". Lineage: Eukaryota; Fungi; Ascomycota; Sordariomycetes; Hypocreales; Hypocreaceae. The record is from RNAcentral.
UGACCUCGGAUCAUGGUAG